CACAGAGCUCCUCAAAGAGCACACCAUCAGAUUUCCUGGCAUGGUGCAAUUCCCCGGACCCUUGGCAUUUUGCAGCCCUUAGAAAAGUUUUCUUGCUCAGGGCUUUGUUAGUGUUUGAUGUUUUUAAAACACUAAGCAGACACUACUCUCCUAAUCCCGCCAGACUUGGCAAUGAAGCAGAUAUGUAAUCCUUCACAGGUAUUAAAUUUAAUAGCAAUAAAGGAUAUUUAAGAAUUACACUGUCAAAUGCCUGCCUAAGCAGAGGAAAAUAUUCUUAAUUCAAACUUCUUCAGAAAUCUAUUUCCAGUUGUUGUUUCCUGUGAAAGCCUCCCCUGCAUGUGUGGGAGUAAAGAUGAGAAAAAACAGCAACAGGCGUCCCCAGAUCUCUCUUUUCUCAACAUUUACAGCAGAAACAUUUCCCUGGGAUGUAUGACUAGAUUCACAUGUGUGCACCUACUUCUACAGGACUUCUAUGCAUAACAGCAGAGGUAGAUGAAUUCAGGGGCACCCUUGUGCAUAAGGAAAAGCCCCAAGCAGUGUGGUACAUAUUCAUGCCAAAUGAAGGAUUUUGGGGGGUGGGUGGGAGGUGAGCUGGGGGCUAUGAGAGGGAGGAGGUGGGAGCCCCAUUGCAGGCAGGACCAGCCAGCCCUGGGAGCCACCCCUACAGAGAUGUGAGCAAGAGAUGGGGGAAUCUGAAUAAGGAACGGAGGGCACACUCCUGAGGAGGGGAGCAGCAAGGAAAAGUCUUUGAGCCACUGAUUUUGGAUCCUCUUCUAAUUCAGGAACUGUAGCUUGGAUUUAUUGGAUCAAACAUGGGGGCAAGCAGCUCAGUUUCCCAGCUGAAAAGCAGGUUUCUCAGCUGAGUAAACAGCUGAGUUAACUACCUAAUUUAACAAUAAUUUUAGCAGGUGAUUAAAAGCUUUAACUCAGCCUUUACUAUUGGCAUCAAAUGAAUGAAAGGUUCUUCUCCAACCCAUGAUUCCCUAGUGCUGUAGCUGGGAGCCCCAAUACAGGCAGGGGGGUGAGGUAGAGCUGCUGUGGUGGUGGAACCCAAGGUAUGGCUCAUGGUGGGGGGGUUGUCCUACAAAAAAAGGCUUUUGUGAGACAUCAGGUUGGAAAAAGAAGAGGAAAACCCCAUCUACCCUGGCCAUGAGCUAUGUGGCGGGCAAAACACAGAAAUGGUUGUUUCAGAUGCUGAGUGACUUUUCUCCAAGCAACAAUUUCCAUCUUCUUCUCAGCAGCCACAGCACAAAGCACUGAAAGUCGGGACUGGAGAGGCGCUUCAGAGGUGAGAACUGCCUGAAAUCCAGCUCAUCUAGAGCUUGUCGCUUCCUAUCAGGGCACUGCACAAACAAAUCCUAUCUGAUGUGACUGACCCCUCUCACCUCCGCUCGCUGCCACUCCAGCCUGCCAGGUGGUCAGGCACAGUUUUUCUGUGGUUUGCAAGAAAACUUUUUCCAUUUGACAAAAAUGAGCCCUGUGGUAUUGUUCAGACGCAUCUAGCAGUCAGCACAGGAACUGCCUGAGACCACAGGCUAAUUAAGGAGCCUUUAAAUAGUUUCCGCCACUGAUAUGAUAAAGCGCUGACUCUUGAGAUGAGGAAACCUGGAGAAAGGUGACAGGGUUUUCCAUGCCACCACCCUCUCCUCUCCUACAACCAGCUGUUGGUGACUGCCUUCCCAGGAAAGCCACUUAAUGCUGAGGCAUUGCUGGAAUAUGCUCCUUCCCUAUUCUAGAAUCAUAGAACAGUUUGGGUUGGAAGGGACCUUCAAACCCCACCCAGUGCCACCCCUGCCAUGAGCAGGGACAUCUUCACCAGCUCAGGUUGCUCAGAGCCCCGUCCAGCCUGGCCUGGGAUGUCUCCAGGAAUGGUUCAUCCACCACCUCUCUGGCCAACCUGGGCCAGGCUCUCACUACCCUCAAUGUAAAAAUUUCUUCCUCAUGUCUGGCCUGAAUCUUCCCUCCUUUAGUUUAAAACUGUCACCCCUUGUCCUAUGGUAACAGGCUCUGCUAAAAGUCUGUCCCCAUCUUUCUUAUCAGCCCCUUUUAAGUACAGAAAGGCCACAAUAAGGUCUCCCUGGAGCCUUCUCCAGGCUGAACAACCCCUACUCUCUCAGCUUGUUCUCAUAGGACAACUGUCCUAUUCCUCUGAUCAUUUCUGUGGCCUCCUCUGGCCCCUCUCCAGUAGGUCCAUGUCUUUCCUUGUGUUUUUCUCAAUGGGGUUUAUUCACAUCUGACCUAUGCCCGGCCAGCACAGACAUCUCCAGGCUGCUCCCCUCCCUCCUGCCAGGUCUCAGCAGGCUGAGCCAGCUUGGACACCAACUCACUCUACACAGAAAGCCGAGGAAAGAGCUGGAGUUCGCAGAUAUCCUUAAAAACCCAGACCGUCCCUGGGCUGCAGUAGGGGGCCCAGCACUGAAAUCGAUUUUGGUUUGAUCCUGAUUAGAAGAAGGCGGGAGCCUGAGCCAGCGCAGCCCCCAUUGCUCUUAACCUCAGAUGACCCCAUGUAAACGCUGAGCACUAAAGCUCUGCCAGCCGCAGGGACUGGCGGCUGCUGGCAGCGUUCCGCUGUACCGACCUGUAUAAAACUCCUCUGCAAAGAGUCUGGGAUCCCAGUGAGUAGUUUUCACGCCUGAGGAUGGGAGUCUUUUUAAAUAAGUCUUUUGCUGUAAAGCGAGACUUCAUCUUUGCAGGUCCUUCGUCAUCUUUCAGGCAUCUGCUGAAGAACCGCCACCUAGAUACCAAUGCUGGGUCCUUUUGAAAGCAACACAGGUGUUGUAUUUCCUAUAUAAAGUAUAUAGCCCUUAGAAAGCAUUUAGUCUAUACUGUUUUACAUUAGCUAAAACCUGUGAGAUAAAUGUCUUUUGAAUGGAGAACUUGAGCUGAAUUCCAACAUGGAAUAAGCAGACUGAAAUCCCCAAAACUUGUUUUUUACACAGUUUGAAAUGUGUGAUAAAAGGCGCAUAUUUCUGUGGCUGAGUCACCUCUUCAAACAGAGUGUCACAUUAAUGUUUGCCUAGAAACACCUUCCCUCAGAGUGGCCAGCCUUGACCCUUUCAGACAGCACAAAAACUUAUAUAUAUAUAUAUAACUUCAGUAGCUUCUCAUACUGUCUGACCAGCUGCCAGAAGCCGCUCAGGAGUUGCCUUCCUUUCGAGGCAAGGACACAAACAGGAAUUUGAAUUAUGUCCUCAAUUUCCUCUUAAAAGGUAAAAUUGACUUUUUAACAAAUUAGAGAGGUUGGCUGAACAUGGCCUGUUCUGUGAUGGAUGCUGUGUACCUGCUGACUGAUGAAGGCUGUAAAUCUGUGGUUCACCCGAUGGAGUAACACCGAUUUACAUGGGCUGGGGAUUGAGACCAUAGGAUUUAUGUUAGACAGCGUGACUUUUGACUCCUGGUUGUGUCCUGGGGAGUGAGGGAAAGGAAAAACUCACCCGAGCGAAGACGGCCACUUGCCUCCAUGUCUGGGGAAGCACAAUAUUGGCCUCUUAAUUUCCUACUGAUUAAACUGUAGGAAAACAAAAUCUGCUUUGCCUGGAGCAAUUUGGCUUCUGCUCAAAAGCUUUCUCAUCAAAAUGAAAUAUCAUUUGCUGUGAAACCGUUAGCAGGAGCAUAAAUGUAGUUGUAAAAGCUGCUGUUUGUAAAAAAACAAAUGGGGAGAAGCAAAAUGCUGUGAUUUAGGGGGAAAUCUCUGCAGGACAUCUGGAUGGCAAAACUUCUUACAAAGCCCGUGUCUCAUCAGAAUUGUCUGUUUACUGGUUUAUUCAGAUGCUGGUGUCUGUAUGUGGACCAUACAGGUACAGAAACCUUUGCUUUGCCAACAUUUCUUGUCUAAGGGAUGAGCUGGUUUGCCUGGGGCUGGUGGGACCUCCAGUUUAACACUGGUGUCCCCAAGCCCCGAGGUGAGGUUGGUGGCAUCUCGUCGGGAAGCACAAGGCAAGAAAAGGUGGUGUAGCCUCUCCAACACCCACAAACUAUCAGCAGCAGGACUUCAGGCUGGAAAACAAAGUGUUACAGAAAGAAGCAACCUAAAUAAUCCUUUAUAAUGACGAGUAAAUAACAGGUUGUUUUAGUCCUGGGAAGUAGCCACAAGAGGGAGAUGUGAUUGGAUACACCCAGUCUGUGUCUUUAAUAGGCAGAAAUAUCGAGCAAUUUAGUAUUAAUUCAGAGAUCACUAGAAGCUCAGGAAGGAAUUUCGUCACAGGACUCUGCAGUUUUGCAGUGACCAAGUAGCUGCGCUGAAUUUAGGAAGUACUUUUACAAUGGCAAAAAUACGGUUAUUUUUCUUCCCCUAAAAUCUCCUUAGUCCUCAUGAAAAAUAGUGUUUUCUCGAAUAUUGCCUGAAUUACAUGAAUCAUUUUGAGUGAAAACAGGGGGAAAAUGUUGACUUCCCCAAAACCCUAUGAAAAUGAGGAGUGAAAUUUUCAUUUCAAGUUGAUUUAAAAUAAGUGUUUGAUCAGUGAACCAAAAAAUCCCUCAUUCAGACAGCACAGCAUAAUUAUCUCACCCUCAAGGGCAGACUGACCAAGUGAUGUUGAGGCAUUUGGAGCGUGUUAUGGAGAUGACUUGAAUCUGCUUCCUGCAUUCUGUGCUUUAUGUUUAAACAAAAUGUUUCCCGAAAGCUAUCAGUCUAUCACCUUUCCCCUGUCUGAGAGUCACUCCUACUAAAAAUAAAUGUCCUUAUUUCUCCUCUGUCUCUUUUUUUCCCCUCUAUCCCCUACAAACCGAGAAUCUAACAUCAGGAGCUUUGCAGGGCUGAAGAUUUAGGAAAGGACUUGUAAGCACAGCCAGUGCUGUGGAUUCUCCCUUUAAAAUCAUCGCCAUGUCCUUUAGAUCGUCCAGCUCUGGACUCGUUGUAACAAUGGGGAAAAAACAGCAUUUUUUUUCCUCCUCUUAGUGCUGCUUCUGUUACGUAACUGCUAAUACAGUAUCUGGCUCAUCCAGCCCGUCGGUCCUUGGGGCUUUUAGACCUAUUUACACACAAACAGACUAACAUCCAUCUGAAAGUCAUCUCAGGCACAGAGAAGCGAUCCCUUUGCCUCCCUGAAAUAACAAUCCUUUCUUCUUUUUUGCGGGGCACUGAAUAACUGUUUGGCAAAGCAAGUGCCAUGUUGGUGCUUAGAUUAAUCUGCUUAGAUCGACUAACACAGUUGUGCAAGAGUAGAAAAUACCCAGUCAAGUAAAUUACAUCAUCCAGGGAAAAGCUAUUCUAAAGAAAGAACAUUUUAUAAGCCUGAGCAAAAUCCUGUUCCGUUAAACAUUUACAUAUAUUUACAAGCAAGAGCAGAAGCUCAUUCUUUUUCUUGUGGGAAAAAAGAAAAUUAAAAAGAUCUUUGAAGUUUUGGCUAAUGAAAAAUCAUCUGACUAAAUAAACCACUGGACAAGAUCCAGAAUGAAUUAAAACCCCAUUAUAGUUUUUCUCACAUGAGUAGUACCAAGGUGUUACAUAGCGCCCUGUGUAAGAAAUGGCAAUUCCCUGGCUAAAAUUGGGGCUGUCUUUGAAAUGUCACGUUCUUCCUCCUGUCAGGUCAUCUUGAUGUUUCAUUAAAUUCUGUUGUUCUCUUUGCAUUCUGAAAUAUGAGAGGAAAAUAAAAUGAACUUUGAGGGGAUGAGGGAAUUUAGAGGCCAUGACCACAUCUGGAUUCAAAUGCUUAACUCCUGCUGACUUGGUUUUUAGCGUCCCCACACAGAAAUGUUUUUAGUGGAAGAUCUGCUGUCGAUGGUGAGACCUGAAAAAGGCUGAUGCUGCAACGCCUGGCUGCGAGCAGCUCUCUGGUUCAGCUUUCUAGGCUGGUCCCUGAAAACAUUUGCUAGAGGAACUCUUUAGGUUUUAGCAAAAAGAAAGAUGGGAUCAAAACUUAAAGUCUCUUCUUGCGAUGGGGCCUGGGCUGUUGCCAUCAUACCCAGGUGCAGGACAGACGUGAGCUCUCGCUCACAACGUCCCACUCUGGUGUGCCCUCAGGAAUUACAACCACAAUUACAAGCACCUCAAUGAUCCCCAAAAAAAAGAGGAAAAAAUGCCACCACGAAUGUGUUGGAAGGGCGGCAGAGGGCACAGACCAGAUCUUGGGGUUUCCAUUACAUUCCCUGGACCAGAGUCCAUUCCAGCCACCUUACACCCCUUGCUGGCAAAACCCCAUCAAAAUAAAACAUCAUGCUGGAAUGAAGCGGCGGUUGUGCAAAAACAGCUGAACACGACACAGCCAGGUCCACAGGGGUCACACUCCGUGCACAGGCCCCUGAACCCAGCCUUAGGUCGCACUGUGCCUCUGUUUUGGUUUUGCUUUUGCAGAAAGCUCUGUGUCGUACCAGGAGCUCUGCUUCAGCUUUCUGACGUUUUCCUGAAAGUUCUCUAGCAAAGCUCCUUGCCGUGGUUUGAGCCUAAGACAACACUUUGGGCCCAAAUAUGUAACUGUAUCACAUAGGAAAUUCCCACAGAAUGGAAUAGAUGUGUAUAAUGUGGUUGGACUAAGACCAUAUUUCAACUUUGUGUUGUUUUUUUUUUUCAAGCCCUGGUUGAACUUUGGCUUGGUAGAAAAUAAGAUAUAAGUUCAAAUUAUUUUUUUUCUCUCUUCCUCCUAAAUUCAUCUUAUCGAGCUCUCUUCAAUUUUAGGACCUACAUAUUCAAUUUAUAUUCAUCUUAUUUCGGAAUGACCUUUGCUUGCUACCUUUCCCUCCCAUCUCUUUUCAUCUGCUUUCUCCUGUGCUCUUGAUUCACUUUUGCUUGAACUCAUAUCACAGAGAAUCACAAAAUCGACUGGAUUGGAAAAGACCUCAGAGAUCAUCGAGUCCAACCCUUGAAAUAAGGGGUACAAGGAAAUAUGAAAUAAGAACAGCCAUAUUAGUAACAAAAAAGGAUCAAAUCUCUGCAAGUGUAAUUUAGCCUUGUAGGAUUUUCUCUGCCCAAUCAUGUUAGCAGACUAUUCAGCUAAUGUGAAUUUUAAAACCAGCUAUUGUAUAUUAUAUAUUAGCGUCUACAGUGUGUGCACGCGAUCAGCUGGGAGCUGGGUGAUUCAUCUCUAUAAGACUGAAUAUUGCUCAAGAGUUGGACUGAGCAGCAUUAAUCAGGUUCUUCGCCCUGAUCACCUUGCCCUGGCCUGUGUCUCUCCAGCUUUCCUCCAUCUCCUCCUUUCACCAGGUCGAUCCCGCAGGUACUCUCAGUUGUAAUUUCAUACCAGCACUGCAGAUAACCACAUGUAUGCAACGUGUAAAUACAACCAUACAUAUAGGUCUUUGCAGCGUCAGAGUCGUAAUAUCACAUGCAUUUUUAUUAUAUGUAUUACACAGAGUCUUUCUGUUCAUAAGAAUGAGGAAAGUCCUUAAUAAGCAUUAUUACUAUUAUCAGUAUUUAGCGACGGUCUUGCCACUGGCAUAAGUGUUCCUAUGUAAGCAUAUAUUAAAUGCAUACGUAAAAUCCCCAGACUAUUUUUUUUAAUGCUGCAAAUGAGCUGAUAAAUGAUUGCAGCCUGUUGGGAUUAUAAUAUGAAUUGACAUUCAGAAGAAAAAAAUCUGACUCCAUCUGUUUGGGUUACAUAAUUCGUGAUCUCAAGCAAUCUCAGAGGCAGGAUUUUCUGCAUAAAUAGUACAAUUUCCAGUAAGGAGAUUAAAGCAGCUUUGCUGGAAAAGGAAAAAAUUACCAGAAAAGCUGACGUUUCAAUGAACACAAAUCAUGUUCCAAAAUACACAGGAAGACAAAUUCAUGUCAUUGAGUCCCUCUCCCCCAGAUGCUCCUUCCCCACCUGUCACAGAGAGCAGUAUUUUGCCACAAAAUGCCAUUCAUCCUCCAAACAGUCAUGAAAUGGGGUCAGCUGUAUUUUCUACGUACGUCGACUCUUUUAAAAACUAGCGCUGCUAUUAAUAUUGUGCAUUUAUUACAGUUUUAAUCCCAGUGAGUUUUUCUUUCUUAAUAUCCGGUGGCUUUCUGGAAGUGCCAGACUUCAGUAAAUCCACGUAUAUUCCACGAGUGUAAGCAGAGGCACUCAGAGCAGCCUGGCAGCAGAACCCACUGCAAGUGAUGGAGGGAAACUCUCCCUCAGCAGCUGACGGCGCCGUGUCCACGCUCUGCAAAACCAUGUCUCGUGUGUACCCACGGGAGUUUCUCCUCUUUUACAUCUAGAGUAACAUUUUGGCACGGACUGAGACAUGGCUCCUCAGCAGAUGCUUCCUUCCUCUCUCUGCUGUCUUCUCCUCGGAAAGCCGAGCGAGUCUGGGGAAAUGAACUUGGCCAUGCUGAUAUGCAGAAGAAAUGGCUCAGCAAAGGGGAACAGCUUCCCUGGAAGCGUGCACCCAGCAGCAUCGGCGAACAGUCAAACUCAACGUGCUUUGGCGAAGUGUCCCAUUUGGUACCUGGGAAACUGCUGCUUAUGACCUGCUACAGCAAAACGUCACAGAGGUGACCUGAGAGAGUGGAAAUUAUUUGUGGAUGGGAGGGAUUACAGAGUUGGCAUCUUCUCGCUGCCCAUCCUCCCUUCUUCCAUGUGCAUCCCUGCACCUUGGCAGUCCUUGCUAUUUGUGGGAUAUCACACCUGGUAUGUCCCCCCUGGGCACCACAGUCAAAGCUUUCUCAUCAAAACCCCUGUGUCUCGGCUUCACAAAAACCCCACUCCAACAUGCUGCCCACGGAGGUAAACACAGGUUUCCACAGCUGGGGAUCUGUAUUCCUGGAAAUAAGCUGAAUAUUUAAGGGGAAAACCCUGGGUUUCCCUGCCUCACCAGGUUCUGCAGGCAGCAUAUUUAGAGUCUGCAUGGGUGCCAUAGCGAGUACUAACCCGAGAAUUGCGAUAUGUCAUCGCACGUAUGAUGGACUACAAAUGCUUCCUCCCAUCUGAAAGGAGAAAGGACAACUUCUGGCCUGGCCAAGCAGAGAAGCAGGGGGUAGCUGGGGCUGAAGGAAAUGGAGACAGUCCCCUCAACCCAGGCCCAUGUAACCCCACAUGCCCCAAGAGUCUGCAGUCACUUUGUAAAGGUCAAAAUCACAUUAUAACGGGACAUGAACUCUGAUGUCGUUUUGGAGUGACCGAUCAAUAUUCCUGGCAUGGGAGAGCGGCCAGUGAUGAGGCAGAGUCCCACUGUCACGGCCAGGCUCGGCAGCACCGUGUGGCUUGACAGCGAGUUUAUAAUACAGAGUUGUUAAUGUAUUUACGCUUUAAUUGCUAUUUAGCAACGAGGCACUUGGGAGGAGUCACCUAGGCAGGAGAGAUUACAGAGGGCCAACAGAAGAAGAGAUAUUAAUCAAUAGAUUGACUUUCUCUGGUCAGAUGUGUUAGCUAACUCCAGGAAAUUAUACUUUCCUCAUACCCCUCCUAUGAGCCUGCAAGAGCUUGGCCUGAUUUCACUGACACCCAGGACUUCAAAGCUGGCCACAUCCAGUCUCAGGAAGGACGCCUGGGUCUGACACAGGCCAUAACCCUGUGACCAGCAGCUGCCUCUGCCUAGCAGCAUUUUUAGGUGAGCGUGCAUAUGCACCAAUUAAGUACUUGCACCUAGAUGUGCAGUUCUAUAAUAUAUUUUAAAAAAUAAACUGUUUUUUCUGUCUCAGACAUGAUAGAUGGAACUUUACUACUCUUUCCGCAGGGCUGCAGUUGCAGUUUCUUUGCCAUCGUAUGCGGCAGAGGCUGCAGGACACUCACACAUUCUACAGAAACUCUGAGGUCAUACGGAAACUUUUCAAAUUAAUGAGGGCUCCUGGACAUGAGAUAACUGUUUUGCAAAAUAAACAUUGCUCCUGAGUAGUUUUCAGCUCGUUUAAGUCAUUUUCAGCCCAUUUUUUAAAGACAAGUUUGCUUUGCGGGGAAAAAUAAUAAAAGUUGUAUGAUGCAAGUUACUUGUCUUUUCUUGACGGGGUAAAAACAUGUGAGGGACUUUUUGUCUGUAAAAAAGUCCCUGCCAGGAGGAUUGGUGGUUACCGUGCAGGUCUGUGAAUUUGGAAAGUUGGGAUGUGUCCCUGAGGAGCUCACUGGCUGCCUACGUGAUCUUGAAGAAGUCAGUGGACUGGCAACGAGCUGACCUUUGUGUUGAGCCAAGCCUGCGUGUCUGCACUUUGAGGGAGGAGAGGGUGUUUUCUCUUGGGUUUUAUUAUUGUGGCUACGUUUCUACGUUUCCAGUUUUCCACCGAGGAGCCGCACAGUCGGAGCAGCCCGUCUGUCCCUGCCUGUCCCUGCGGCCUGGGGCACCUGGCACGGGCUCUCCUCUGCCCCCUCCUCUGCACACACCUGCGGGGAAGCAAGAUCACGCCAAGAUGACACGCAACAGCCAUGAAAUAAUGAUGAAAUUAAACCAGUUUCUGACCUUGCUGUCUACUCUUUUGAUGAGGGCCCUGACAACCCAGCACUGAUGGUCCUUGUUUCACUGCCCCAUACUUCACCCCUGCUGCACUCCAUGGUGUCUCCAGCUAAAGUCCUUGUGGAUGAAGAAUUUGAAUGAAGAAACAGCUGGAAGACGAUCACAGGGAUGUUGGCCUCUGCUGCUGCUGGCCGAGUUGGGCAGCACUAAGGAGGAGACAUGGGACAGAGGGCUCAGAUGUUGCUUUGGAGUCAAAUACCCGGAGCUGUUCAGUCACUGCUCUUCCUUGGCCUUUUUUUGUCUUCCAUAACAGGAGUUGCUGCAGUUCUGCUGGAAAGUACCUGUUAUCCCACUCUUAAGUGGAGAACUCAGUCUCUCUUCCAAAGGACCAGAUCCACAAACUAGUUAUGCGUCUAAGUCCAACUGAUUUCUGUCUCAGUUGCCUGAGUAUCUUUGCGUAUCUGGACCUAAGUGUUUCAUCUGUGGUCAUUCAGGAAGUCUAUGGUAAGCAGAGAAGUGAAAAUACAUCCCAAGCUAAAGCUCUAACUACUGUGCCACUCUUCACUGGGAUUUUUUGGGGGCAGGAGGAGAUCUCAAUUUGCUGUGAAUAACAGCAGUAUUUUGCAUCUGCAUUUUGACAUCUGGCUUUAAAAUAAAAACCUGUAUCAUUGCUGCAAAUGGAUUGAUUAGCCUUUCAUAAACUGGAGAACUCACUUCAUCUGGCAUUGCCAUGGCUGAAAGCCAAUACUGCAAUUGAUCAUCUAAUUAACUGGAAGAAAAUUAAAGGAACUGUAAUCUGUGUCUCAGCUCUGUUGUUAUCAAGCUGGCAAAGUCCUUAUUUCUGCCUAGAGCAACAAUUGGUUCCUUGACCCUGCAAUUUAGAAAUGCUGGUUUAGGCAUCCCCCCCCUCACCUACCCACCUGGCUUUCUGCAAAGCAGGAAGAAACGCGACCUGAUCCUUCCUUCAUCAGCUUGUGGAUCCCAGACUUUGGGGUACCCGAUACCUCUCACAGCUGGCUGGAUCAGCUAAAUUCGCAUCUUCUCACCACAUCUGGGAAGGCUGUGGUUCUAGCUUCAUAAAACUGAACCCGGAAGAGAAAUGGAUAUACUAUAAAAGUCAUUUUUUAGAGGCUGAAAUGAGAACAUGGGAGAUUUUUAGUUUAUUUGAACACCAAAGUCUCCUUAAAGGGAUUGCAAUACUGAUUUUCAUAUUGCUACUUCAAAUACAUAAGAGAGAACAAUGCGUUUGAGAGAGAAAUUACCAGUCCUGAAAACUUGGUGAGCCCUUAAAGCUUUAACUUAAACAAGCAACUUGAGUGGUCUGUGAACAGAGAGAGAGAAAAAAAAAUGAGGUAAGAAGCCAUUGUUUUAAUGAUUGUGUUGCCAUAUCAAGAGAAGAAAGACAGCUGCUUCUAACUUGUCUUUGCAUGCCUAAGUAAUUUAUUAAUUACCUCAUUCCCCCAUAAAUGCCUACAGUCCUCCAAAAGGCAUGCUAAAACAGACAUAGUCAUUAAAGCUUGCACUGCAUUUUCUAAUGUGUUGUGGGAAAACAAACAAACAAAUAAAACCUCAAGCCCUUUGUGUUUUAGCUA
This is a long non-coding RNA of Columba livia (rock pigeon), 11873 nucleotides long. RefSeq lists it as uncharacterized. Lineage: Eukaryota; Metazoa; Chordata; Aves; Columbiformes; Columbidae. The record is from RefSeq and is a predicted model, not a curated record. The transcript has 5 exons.